UACAGAGGGUGCAAGCGUUAAUCGGAAUUACUGGGCGUAAAGCGCGCGUAGGUGGUUUGUUAAGUUGGAUGUGAAAUCCCCGGGCUCAACCUGGGAACUGCAUUCAAAACUGACAAGCUAGAGUAUGGUAGAGGGUGGUGGAAUUUCCUGUGUAGCGGUGAAAUGCGUAGAUAUAGGAAGGAACACCAGUGGCGAAGGCGACCGCCUGGACUGAUACUGACACUGAGACUCGAAAGCGUGGGGAGCAAACAGG
This 253-nucleotide ribosomal RNA is filed under the name uncultured bacterium. RNAcentral's name for it is "partial 16S ribosomal RNA". It matches the Rfam family "Bacterial small subunit ribosomal RNA", at positions 524 to 776 of the family's 1533-position model. The record is from RNAcentral.